RNAcentral lists this ribosomal RNA (253 nucleotides) under uncultured bacterium. RNAcentral's name for it is "partial 16S ribosomal RNA". It matches the Rfam family "Bacterial small subunit ribosomal RNA", at positions 524 to 776 of the family's 1533-position model. The record is from RNAcentral.
UACAGAGGUUGCAAGCGUUAAUCGGAAUUACUGGGCGUAAAGCGCGCGUAGGUGGCUAACUAAGUCGGAUGUGAAAUCCCUGAGCUCAACUUAGGAAUUGCAUUCGAUACUGGUUAACUUGAGUUUGGUAGAGGAGAGUGGAAUUCCCGGUGUAGCGGUGAAAUGCGUAGAUAUCGGGAGGAACAUCAGUGGCGAAGGCGGCUCUCUGGACUAAAACUGACACUGAGGCGCGACAGCGUGGGGAUCAAACAGG